Molecule: RNA transcript, 3810 nt
Organism: Sphaerodactylus townsendi
Lineage: Eukaryota; Metazoa; Chordata; Lepidosauria; Squamata; Sphaerodactylidae
Gene name: zinc finger and SCAN domain-containing protein 30-like
Exons: 5
Source: RefSeq, a predicted model, not a curated record
GCCUACCGUGGGAAAGUCGGGUUUAAAUUUCCCAGGCGCUGCCGCUGGAGCUGGAAGGGUUUUGUUUUUCUUUUGCGGAAGGGAAAGAUCAGACUACAUGCAUGUAGAUUCCGUGGAUCAACAUAAAGAACAUCUUGCCCAGUUGGUGGGAUUAUCUGAUAAUGUCAGGUUUGGGCAACUGUUGCCCAGAAAAGAAAAUGGCCGCUGAGCAGCAUGACACUGUGCCUUUGAGUCUCCAGCUGGCAGCCAGGGUACGGCCAGGGGUGAAAACUGAGACAGUGACCCUUGAGGUGAGGACUGAAAAAGGCCAUCACGCUGUGCAAGCUGUGAACACUGGGGAAUUCUGGGAAGGAAAUGUAUUGGACCACUUAAAACGGGAGAACGUGAAGCCAUGGGAAACUCAGUUCCAAGAAUUCCUAAAGGUAAUGGAGACCUCUCAGUCAGAGGGGAGAAAUCCGCAUCAACUAGGGCUGGUGGGAAGAGAUGAGGCCAGGCAGCACCCAAGAGGAUGGAGGCUGACCCAAGACCUCAGCAGAGAAGCCCAGCAUGGGGAUACCAGCCAAGAAGAGUGUGGGAAGGUGAAGGAAGAAAUCCCGGAGGAAGGGACCGUCAGUGCCGAAGUGCAAUGCUGGCGCUUCCGGACAUACCGCUACCAAGAGGCCAAGGGGCCGCGAGAGGCUUGUGGCCGCCUCUGGGAGCUUGGCCAUCAGUGGCUAAAGCCGGAACGACAUACCAGAGAAAGGAUCUUGGAGCUGGUGAUCCUGGAACAGUUCCUGACUGUCCUGCCCCUGGAAAUGCAGAAGUGGGUUAGGAAAGGCAGGCCGGAGACCUGUGCCCAAGCGGUGGCCCUGGCAGAGGAUUUCCUGCGAUGUCCACCCAAGGACAAGCAGGAGGAGCAGGUUUCGAGACCAUUCAAGGAUGGGGCAGCUGGUUUUCCUGAUGUGGAUGGGCCUCCUUCCAACCCCUGGCAGUGCCAGCUGUUCAGGGAGAUCAAACAGGAGGGUGACAGAGGGGCCACCUCGCUGGCAGGAGAUGGGAAGGAGCAGAAUCAGCCAGAAAAUUCGAGGAAACCCAAGCCACGCUGGAUGUUUUCGGGAAGAGCCAGGCAAAGCAUUCCUUGGCCUGAUCGAGGAGGCGCUUCUGUGAACCAGGAGGAAACAUACCCGGAGAAGGAGCGGGACAAGUUUAUUAAUUCUCAGGGCAGAUACGUGGAACUGGAGGGCAAUGUAGUCCAGCUAACGAUCCCCUCAGGGGAAGCACAGAAGUUGGGAAACGAGAGGGAGAAGGCAUGCGUUCAUUGCGGGAAAGACUUCCAGCUGAAGUGUAACCUUCAAGCCCAUGAGAGGACCCACACAGGAGAGAAACCAUUCAAGUGUUCUGUUUGCGGGAAGGGCUUCAGCACAAGAGCCUACCUGAUCACUCAUGAGAGGAUCCACACAGGUGAGAAACCCUACCAGUGCUCUGACUGCGGGAAGAGCUUCUGUGACAACUCUAACCUGAUCGUCCACAAAAGGACCCACACAGGAGAGAGGCCGUACAAAUGCACUGACUGUGGGAAGAGCUUCCGGGAACGGCCCGUCCUCAUCAGGCACCAAAGGAUCCACACAGGUGAGAAGCCAUACAAAUGCAGAGACUGCGGGAAGAGCUUCAGCCAGAGCUCCGGCCUCCUGGUGCACGAGAGAACUCACACGCGAGAGAAACCGUACACAUGCACUGACUGUGGGAAAAGCUUUGGGGGCAAUUCGAACUUGCGAGUGCACAUGAGAAUCCACACAGGAGAGAAGCCCUGCAAAUGCUCGGACUGCGGGAAGAUCUUCAGCGACCGGUCACUCCUCCUUCGGCAUCAGAGCAGCACCCACCAAGAAGGAAAGAGCUAAACACAGAUUGUGGUUGUCCCAGUGGGUAGGGCACUUCCACACUGUUCAAGAACUCUAGGACAUUUAGAAACAUGAUGUUUGGCACCCAUGGAGUUGAGACCUACCCUGACGACUAGUUGAACAUGAAACACAGAAGAAUUAUUGCAUGAGGGGAAUUUGAUUUCUCCUUCACACUUCCAUUGGCAUUGGGGGUGGGAGGGGGGGGGUAGGGAUGCGUCUAGUGCCGCCCUAGGAAUGUGUUUAUCUAUGCUUGCACAACUUAGGCUAAAUUUACUUGUAGGAUACAAAACUGUAGGAUAUAUAGUACGUAUUUAUUACCACAGGAGGAAAACUUGGGUUGAGUUUGGUUUAGCUUAGUCUGUAGCAAUUCUGCUGGUGGAGAGUUGACUAUAACCUCUGCUAUAGAUAUUUAUUGAAAGCCCCUCGCUCAGUGCUAGGGUGAUGCAUGCAGGAAGAUCCUUGUCAUCGUAGGAAGGUUCUCGGGGUGUUGUGCUGCGACAGUGACCUUUGUCUGACAUCCUGGAGAACUGUUGCUGGCUGGACCAGAGAUCCUCAACGUGGUGCCUAUGGUGCCCACGAAGUAUUCUUAGAAUGUGGGUGUGGCCAUAUAGGACCUGUGUCCAGCAAGGCUUCUGAUUGACCAUUGGGGAUUUUAUUGACUGCUCAGAUUUUUUAAAACAUUGAUUUGUCAGCAUCUGCAAUGAUCUUCACUGUGUGACUGAAAGUAAGCUGUGGCAGCCAUUUUGUGGCUGCACCCAGCACAGUAUAUCAGAAUUCCAAAGGUGUUCACAGGCUCAGAUUGGUUAGGGACCCUUGAAAUAGACAAUAUUGGGCUAGGUGUAUUAGCAGCCUGACUUGACAGAAGAGUACAGUCAUGGGUCCCCAUCAGGCCAUUGUGUUUUGGGCAGUGGCCAAGGUCUAUUCUUGGGAAUUCUUGGGUUAAAAGUUUAAACGUAAGCCGAGCUGGGAAAGUACAGGCUGGGUGAACAAUCAGUCUGAUUCUGUAUAAGGCUGCUUUAUACAGCACCCAUUUUGCCUAAGUCCCGCAUUCAGUUCCCCUUGCCCAACGCAUGUUGUCAAAAGAAUACCUCCCACAAGGGAGAAAACAGUGCGGAAAUAAUAGCAUAAGGGCUUGCUUUUUAAGAAGACGUUUUGGAGUGUCUGCUGUCCCACCCUCUCCAUUUUUGAGAGCCGUAAGGCCUUUCCUACAUUUUGGGCCCAUCCCUGUACAGCCCAUCCCAUGGGUAGGGUGUUACCUGCAUCUUCAGCAUGAAAUAAUUGCCCCUGAUCUCUGCCAGAUUACUGUUUUAUGGAUUUUGUUUAGUGGCCUCCUUUUCUAUUUUUAAAAAAUGGCAGUAGCAGAAGAAAUUACUGGACAGAAGAAAAAGAAAACUUUCUAAAGUGUUUCCAGUAGUAGAAUUGGGCCAUAGAAAUUGGCUUCUGAUGGGCAGCUGUUGUGUUUUAAAACAGGCCCCUUUUCUUACCUUUUGCCCAGGAACAAGCAGCUAAAUUUGUACAGGAGAAAGCCUUGUAAGCCUGUUCACACCUGGGAAGAGAUUGUAGAACCUUCUUCCUGUGUCUCCUCCUGCAGUUUGUGAACAAGAGAAAUGCCCAUCUGGAUUUGACCAGCAACCCAUCUGAUCUGGCAUCCUGUUUUGCACAGAUGCGAUAUCAGAUAAUUUUGAAAGUAGAGACCUAGGGCUGUCCUCUGCUUUAGCCUGAAUAGCCCAAGCUAGCCUGAUCUCAUCCGAUUUCAGAAGCUAAGCAGAGUCAGCCCUAGCUAGCUCUUGGAUGGGAGACUGCCGAGGAAAUGCAUAACCUCUGUGCGGAGGCAAGCCGGGGCAAAACAUCUCUGAAGGAAUUUGCUUGGAUAAUUCUACAGCAGGGGUCUGCAACCUGCGGCUCUCCAGAUGUUCAUGGAUUACAAUUCCCA